This 120-nucleotide small RNA is filed under the name Marmota monax (woodchuck). Lineage: Eukaryota; Metazoa; Chordata; Mammalia; Rodentia; Sciuridae. The record is from RNAcentral.
GCAGGAUGUGGUGGUGCACACCUGUAAUCCCAAUGGCUCAGGAGGCUGAGGCAGGAGAAUCAUGAGUUCAAGGCUAGUCUCAUCAAUUUAGCUAUGCAACUUAGCGAGACCCUGUCUCUA